UUUCCGUAGGUGAACCUGCGGAAGGAUCAUUAUUAUAUAACCGAGGUGCGAGGGCUGUCGCUGACCCGAAAGGUCGUGCACGCCCGAGUGCCCUUACACACAUCCAUCUCACCCCUAUGUGCACCACCGCGUGGUCCCCUUUUGGCUUGUUCGGAGGGGGGAUUACGUUUUCACUCAAACGUUGUAUGCAGUGUAGAAUUUAUUAUUUGUUUUUGCGAUCACGCAAUCAAUACAACUUUCAACAACGGAUCUCUUGGCUCUC
This 262-nucleotide unclassified non-coding RNA is filed under the name plant metagenome. RNAcentral's name for it is "partial contains small subunit ribosomal RNA, internal transcribed spacer 1, and 5.8S ribosomal RNA". The record is from RNAcentral.